UACGGAGGGUGCGAGCGUUGUCCGGAAUCAUUGGGCGUAAAGGGCGCGUAGGUGGCCCGGUCAGUCCGUGGUGAAAGUCCGGGGCUCAACCCCGGAUCGGCCGUGCGAACUGAGUGGCUCGAGCACUGUAGAGGCAGGUGGAAUUCCGGGUGUAGCGGUGGAAUGCGUAGAGAUCCGGAAGAACACCCGUGGCGAAGGCGGCCACCUGGGCCGACCCUGACGCUGAGGCGCGAAGGCGUGGGGAGCGAACGGG
Molecule: ribosomal RNA, 253 nt
Filed under: uncultured bacterium
Lineage: Bacteria
Description: partial 16S ribosomal RNA
Rfam family: Bacterial small subunit ribosomal RNA
Source: RNAcentral